CAGUCGCCACGGUAAUACGUAGGGUGCGAGCGUUAAUCGGAAUUACUGGGCGUAAAGCGUGCGCAGGCGGUUUUGUAAGACAGGCGUGAAAUCCCCGGGCUCAACCUGGGAAUGGCGCUUGUGACUGCAAAGCUAGAGUGCGGCAGAGGGGGAUGGAAUUCCGCGUGUAGCAGUGAAAUGCGUAGAUAUGCGGAGGAACACCGAUGGCGAAGGCAAUCCCCUGGGCCUGCACUGACGCUCAUGCACGAAAGCGUGGGGAGCAAACAGGAUUAGAUACCCGAGUAGUCCCUGUCUCUUAUAC
RNAcentral lists this ribosomal RNA (301 nucleotides) under uncultured bacterium. RNAcentral's name for it is "partial 16S ribosomal RNA". It matches the Rfam family "Bacterial small subunit ribosomal RNA", at positions 509 to 807 of the family's 1533-position model. The record is from RNAcentral.